AGACUAAGUUUCCCAUUCACCCGUUCAGUUAAGUGUGGAAAGUGACUAAGUUCUGAAAAAAGAGAUUAAAAACAUCCUUUCAAAUGCCGAGAAUGCAGUCGCGAUGGCUAGAAUUCAAGCAAUUGUCUUGCACCAUGUGAUAAAAGGAGGGGCAGCCUGCUAUAAGCAGUGGCAGCAAGAUGGCAUCUCCCACCGAGAGACACUUGUACCACUUAGAGAUGAGAAAGAUGCACUAACUAAGGUGGGGGGUGAGACAAGAGAAGAGUUGGAUCCAUGCCCCCUACCUGGCUCUCCAGGAGAUUGACUGAAACAAAAACAACCCAGAUUUUGGAGUGAUGUCCAGACUUGAACCCACAGCUUUGCAUCAACUUUUCUGAACCUCUGUGUCCUCAUCGUGAAUGUUGUUAUAAUAGUCAACUUUCAAAGUUGUAAAGAUCAAACAGGAUAAUUUAGGAAAAAAGUGCUUGGUUAACUUACCUUGGGAAACGAUUAUUGUUUGACUUUAAGGUGCUUCCUGGAGUAGUCCCAGGCAGAAAUACAGACAGCCUGUGACCAGCUGUCAUCUCAGCCCUUCCCUGCAGCAGCUCUCCCAAAGAGAGUGGGAAGUCAUUAGCCCAUCCCUGAAGGUCAGACCAUCCAAGAACCUAGCCACUUUGUUGAUCUCAGAGGUAGCAUUUGGGUAAUGAGUUUUCAACACUUGUCUGAGACUUGGAAGCUUUAUGAAUUCACAUCUCAAAAAAGAACCGAGGCGUCGAUGACAAGCAUCUGUGAGACCAGCAGGAGGGGACUGGGCAUUUCUAAUCUGAGAAGAAACACUUUGGGGUGCAUAACACUGUGGCAAGCCUAAUCCAACAUUAAUUAGAAGUUAAUGAUUUUACAAGAUCAUCCAAGGGUUUCAGCCGUCUGUAAUCAUGACAUGCUCAUUUUAGAGUAAUGUUUUUCUCUAAAAUUUUCUGACACUUUCUCCCCAAACCUUUUUAUCUCUUCCGUAUCUCACAUACCUUCACUUUCAACUCCUUCUUAGUAUCAUAUCCAAGAUUCUUUGGAAUACCUGAUGUCAGUUCUUGAUAAUGUUAAGCAACUCAGACAAAUUAAAAAUUGUCACUCGAA
Ictidomys tridecemlineatus (thirteen-lined ground squirrel) is the source of this 1110-nucleotide non-coding RNA. The record is from RefSeq and is a predicted model, not a curated record. NCBI's taxonomy places the organism in Eukaryota, Metazoa, Chordata, Mammalia, Rodentia, Sciuridae.